This is a long non-coding RNA of Triticum dicoccoides, 1411 nucleotides long. RefSeq lists it as uncharacterized. The record is from RefSeq and is a predicted model, not a curated record. NCBI's taxonomy places the organism in Eukaryota, Viridiplantae, Streptophyta, Magnoliopsida, Poales, Poaceae. The transcript has 3 exons.
UCACUGACCACCUCUGCUUGUUUUGGCUCCUUCUAAUUGAUGUGUUACUUUGUCUAUUUUCAUGUACCCAGAUCCCUGACAAAAUCCAUGUAUUUAACCGUGGCAUGUUUGGCAGCUGCAGCCGCGUGGCAAUUAAUUAAUUCUCAUUCAACGUAAUUUACUUCUCCCCCUUUAUGUAUCAUGGAUGGAUAUACAUGGUGGUUGGCUGUUAUUAUCGAAGCAAGAGUUACUGAUGAUGACUACAUUUGAGCUGGUUUGCUGCUUACAAAUCGGGCACUGUUUUAGUUGUUAGUUCAGGUGCUUUUGAUUUUCUGAAUGUAUCUAGAUAUCAGUGGUCCAUGUCACAAUAAACAAGUGAUUCGUACUUAAACAUGACAUGGGGAACCUUGGAUACACCAUUCAGGACAGGGAUAUACUCGAUCUGAGAGAACAUGGGCUUCUUGCCUCCGUCUUUUGUACCCAGUUUACUAGAUAUUAGAUAACAGUGGGUAUUUAAAAAAAUUGUUACAGAAGUGCCUUGAAUAUAUUCAGCAUAAAUGGGAUGACCAGGACAUAUGUGAAUCGGAUUUCUUAUUAACUAUACUUGGAAAACGAUGAUGUGAUGAAGAUAUGUCUGCACAUGAAUACGACGGUUAUAGAUUUCAGUUGUGCUCUUAAGCAUAAUUCUGCAUCUACAACUAUCGUCACUGCUGUCUAUAUUCCAUUUUUAGAUUCGAAAAUGAUUCCGAUGAUUCUUGUCUGCCUUGGGCAACCUUUCCAUUUCAGUCUCAUGUAGGAUUUUGGUCCCCGUGAUCUUCCUUGCAUAGAUGACCUACUCCCAAUCCUCCUUACCUCCCCUCUGACUCCUUUAUGUCUCAGUGGUUGCCCAGGCUUUCGUUCAAAUUUGGCAUGAUUUUUUGGUACACAUUACCCAACCAACGCCCUCCCUUUCAAAGGAAAAUGAUGAUUUUUUGUACUUAAGUGUGUUGUGUGCUGUCUGUGGCACUGUGUUGGAUUUUUAGAGAAAAUAUCAUUGUUGCUUCACUGCUAUAUGUGGUUUGAGUUGAUGCUCUGUUCAGAAAGAAACAAGUUUAGAAUAGGUAAAUUUUAGUUAACCCCAUUGUUUUGCUUUAGGCUAUCCUUUGUAUUUUCCUUGUCAUGUUUCGUGCUUCAUAGCAUGUGUAUGGAAGCAUAUAAAUACAGCAAUAUAAACUGCAGUUGUAGUAUCACAUUUGUCUAUCAUAAAUGUGUAGAAAUUUGAGAGCUUAACAGGAGAAUAGAAUCAAGGAGAAGAAUGAAUGCUUAGUUCUAUGCGUAUGCAUGUAGAAGCAUCUCCUUGAUCAUUGAUCACGGCAACUAGGAAUCCAUCAUACAUCUAUACUAUCUGCACAAGCACACAUAAUUCGGUUUAAACUAUUUAUGGUUUCUGAGA